RNAcentral lists this small RNA (288 nucleotides) under Yersinia intermedia. RNAcentral's name for it is "5' ureB small RNA". It matches the Rfam family "5' ureB small RNA". Lineage: Bacteria; Pseudomonadati; Pseudomonadota; Gammaproteobacteria; Enterobacterales; Yersiniaceae. The record is from RNAcentral.
CUGCUGUGGGGAGAUCAAAUGAAUAUGGCUAUCAAUACCAGCGGCGGUUAGGAUCAAAUGCUCACCGGAAAUGGCAUCAGUGCUAACACCGACUACCAUGCCUGGCGUCACCCCAUCCAUCACACCGGGGUUACCACUCUUACCGAUACCGGCAAUUUUGCCAUCGCGAAUACCGACGUCAGCCUUAAUUACCCCUAAACGGGCAUCAACAAUGGUGACGUUGGUUAUCACUAAAUCCAGCACACCAUUAUCGCGGGUCAGAUGGUUAUUCGCCCCCAUCCCGUCACG